This 213-nucleotide unclassified non-coding RNA is filed under the name plant metagenome. Its description in RNAcentral is "partial contains small subunit ribosomal RNA, internal transcribed spacer 1, and 5.8S ribosomal RNA". The record is from RNAcentral.
UUUCCGUAGGUGAACCUGCGGAAGGAUCAUUCAUAAUAAGUGUUUUAUGGCACUUUUUUAAAUCCAUAUCCACCUUGUGUGCAAUGUCAGGGCUGAUUUUUCUCUCGAGAGGAUCAACCCCAAACAUCGACUAUAUCUCAACUCUUUGUCUGAAAAAUAUUAUGAAUAAAACAAUUCAAAAUACAACUUUCAACAACGGAUCUCUUGGCUCUC